This 253-nucleotide ribosomal RNA is filed under the name uncultured bacterium. RNAcentral's name for it is "partial 16S ribosomal RNA". It matches the Rfam family "Bacterial small subunit ribosomal RNA", at positions 524 to 776 of the family's 1533-position model. The record is from RNAcentral.
UACGGGGGGGGCAAGCGUUGUUCGGAAUUACUGGGCGUAAAGGGCUCGUAGGCGGCCAACUAAGUCAGACGUGAAAUCCCUCGGCUUAACCGGGGAACUGCAUCUGAUACUGGAUGGCUUGAGAUUGGGAGAGGGAUGCGGAAUUCCGGGUGUAGCGGUGAAAUGCGUAGAUAUCUGGAGGAACACCGGUGGCGAAGGCGGCAUCCUGGACCAACACUGACGCUGAGGUGCGAAAGCGUGGGGAGCAAACAGG